AGUGAACGCUGGCGGUAGGCCUAACACAUGCAAGUCGAACGGCAGCACAGUAAGGGCUUGCUCUUACGGGUGGCGAGUGGCGGACGGGUGAGGAAUACAUCGGAAUCUACUUUUUCGUGGGGGAUAACGUAGGGAAACUUACGCUAAUACCGCAUACGACCUACGGGUGAAAGCAGGGGAUCUUCGGACCUUGCGCGAUUGAAUGAGCCGAUGUCGGAUUAGCUAGUUGGCGGGGUAAAGGCCCACCAAGGCGACGAUCCGUAGCUGGUCUGAGAGGAUGAUCAGCCACACUGGAACUGAGACGCGGUCCAGACUCCUACGGGAGGCAGCAGUGGGGAAUAUUGGACAAUGGGCGCAAGCCUGAUCCAGCCAUACCGCGUGGGUGAAGAAGGCCUUCGGGUUGUAAAGCCCUUUUGUUGGGAAAGAAAAGCAGCAGGUUAAUACCCCGCUGUUCUGACGGUACCCAAAGAAUAAGCACCGGCUAACUUCGUG
RNAcentral lists this ribosomal RNA (492 nucleotides) under uncultured bacterium. RNAcentral's name for it is "partial 16S ribosomal RNA". It matches the Rfam family "Bacterial small subunit ribosomal RNA", at positions 29 to 507 of the family's 1533-position model. The record is from RNAcentral.